RNAcentral lists this non-coding RNA (27 nucleotides) under Mus musculus (house mouse). Lineage: Eukaryota; Metazoa; Chordata; Mammalia; Rodentia; Muridae. The record is from RNAcentral.
UGAGCUAACAGAAGAAUCUUGUCUGCU